RNAcentral lists this ribosomal RNA (1183 nucleotides) under Oenococcus oeni. RNAcentral's name for it is "bacterial LSU rRNA". It matches the Rfam family "Bacterial large subunit ribosomal RNA", at positions 1119 to 2328 of the family's 2925-position model. Lineage: Bacteria; Bacillati; Bacillota; Bacilli; Lactobacillales; Lactobacillaceae. The record is from RNAcentral.
CCCUUUAAAGAGUGCGUAAUAGCUCACUAGUCGAGUGCUCUUGCGCGGAUAAUGUACCGGGGCUAAGCAUAUUACCGAAACUGUGGAUGCGUAAGCAUGGUAGGAUAGCGUAAUUAACGCGAUGAAGGAUGACCGUAAGGACAUGUUGGAGCGUUAACUAGUGAGAAUUCCGGUAUGAGUAGCGAAAGAUAGGUGAGAAUCCUAUCCACCGAAUGAGUAAGGUUUCCCCCGGAAGGCUCGUCCGCGGGGGGUUAGUCGGGACCUAAGGCGAGGCUGAAAAGCGUAGUCGAUGGACAACAGGUUGAUAUUCCUGUACCGAUAUUUAAUUGCCGAAGGAAGGACGCAGAAGGAUAACACAGGCCACUAUUGGAUGUGGUUUUAAACAGUUAGUCUUCAUAAGAGUCAAAUGCUUUUAUGUUUAAGGAUAAGCUGUGAAUGUACCAAGUUUACUUGGAAAUUGUGUGAUUUCACGCUGCUGAAAAAAGUUUCGUAGGAAGAAAAUAUUGCCCGUACCGCAAACCGACACAGGUACUCGAGUGGAGAACACUAAGGUGAGCGAGUGAACUAUUGUUAAGGAACUCUGCAAAAUGAGUCCGUAACUUCGGAAGAAGGACUGCUGGUUUUAUACCAGCCGCAGCAAAUAGGCCCAAACAACUGUUUAUCAAAAACACAGGUUUCUGCAAAAUCGUAAGAUGAAGUAUAGGGGCUGACGCCUGCCCAGUGCUGGAAGGUUAAAAGGAGGACUUAGCUUCGGCGAAGGUCUUAAUUGAAGCCCCAGUGAACGGCGGCCGUAACUAUAACGGUCCUAAGGUAGCGAAAUUCCUUGUCGGGUAAGUUCCGACCCGCAUGAAAGGCGUAAUGAUUUGGGCGCUGUCUCAACAAUAGACUCGGUGAAAUUUAAAUUCCAGUGAAGAUGCUGGGUACCCGCGACAGGACGGAAAGACCCCGUGGAGCUUUACUGUAGCUUGAUAUUGAAUGUUUGUGCUGCAUGUGCAGGAUAGGUAGGAGACUUUGAAGUCGGAACGCUAGUUUCGAUUGAGUCACCCUUGAGAUACUACCCCUGUUGUAUGAACGUUCUAACUCUGAUCAGUUAUCCUGAUCGAAGACAGUGUCUGGCAGGCAGUUUGACUGGGGCGGUCGCCUCCUAAAAGAUAACGGAGGCGCUCAAAGGUUUGCUCAGAAU